GUUCAGGGCCUUGUUUGUCUGCAGGAUGGAAAGGGAACAAACAACAUACGGUUGAUACGUUUUGAAAACUCUUAAGAAAGAAAGCGUGCAGAAGAACACAGGAGAAAUGAUUAAUUGGCUCCUCUCCAACAGCUGACUGCCACUAAAGAGCAUAUCAAAUGAACAUGCAUGACUCAGAGAUCUCCUACGGCCCGGCAGCCUUUGAAGUCCAGGAAAUGUAGCGAAAGAGUGAACCUGCGGACCAAGGGCUCGAGCCCCAAGUUCAACCCACCCUGUAACAGAACCGCACGGAGGAAGAAAGAGAGCAGUGAAGGAGGAGAUGGGGAGGAGGAGGGAUGGCGGAAGAAUUGCAGCUAGACUCGGAGGCCUGGAGGCCCAUAAUGAUGAUUGACAGGCCUAGGAUCAAGAAGGACGGGAUUUGUAUUCGGCACGCACCUGCUGGUGAUCAUCAGUGACCUCGAGCCCUCUCAAACAAUCCCACUUAUAAAUAUGGGAAACAUGUAGGAGAUACUGAAAUGUGCUGUUUAGGUGUCAUACAAUAAAAUCUGAUUUUUUAUAAGAUUCAGAUUUGAAUACAAAGCAAUGUACAUUGCAGGCAAUAACCUGAAAACUCAGAAACAUAAAAGUGUAAGAUGUAAUUUGUAUAACCAUCAGGAUAAAACUGUAACCUUACACAACCCAAUAAUUAUCUGAGCAUUAAACUUCAUCAUUGAUGGGAGAUGAACAAAGCUUUGAUGAAAGAACUUUGCUAAGAAAAUGAAAAGAUGUUUGGAAUUAUUGUUAGAUCAAAUGCAAGAGAAGUUUCAAAGGAAGCUACACUUUUCAUCAAAUAUUCAUCUGCCUACUAUGGAUGACUGCAUGCAUAACAUACGUCUAACUCGUUUUGUAGGUAACUGAAUUUCAUGUUUUGUUAUUAAAGGUCACAUUCUUUCUGAUUCCAUGUUUAAACCCUAGUAAUGUUGCUAUAAUAGCAUAAAUAAUACCUGUAAAAUUAUAAAGCUCAAAGUUCACUGUCAGGUGAUUUAUUUUCUUUAACAGAAUUCACCUUUAAGCCUACAGCGAACGGCCGGUUUGGACUACAGUCCUCUACUUCCUGCUUUAAUGAGGUCACUAGAACAGUUUUUUGACUAAACUCCACCCACAAGAAUACUUCAGUCGCCAGCUAAGCUAACGGCAAGCCAAGCUGCUGUCGAAUCACAACACACUAAACAAACUACACAAUCAGAGCUCUUUGCGUAUUUCUGCAGGAGGGACUUCAUAGAACAAGGAAGACAUCAGACCGUUUUGAGGACAGUGAAAUAGAUACAAGAAAAUUGUGUGAAAAAUACCACGUUUUUUUUUUACACGUGAAACAUGAACACAUGUUAUAUUGCACACUGUAAACACAAUCAAAGCUUAAAAACACAGAAAGAAUGGGACCUUCAAGUACACUUUAUUUCAAUUCAAAUGCUAAUUUCAGUAUGCAUUCCUUUUCCAUUAUACUAGUGGAUCGCAAUAAACUUUUAAAAAGUGACAUCACUAAAUGACAAAAAUGAAAAGGUGCCUCAAGGGAGACUAAAGGGAAAAAGCAUAUCACACCUUGUUCAUUUUCACAGAAUGUCAGAUGACUUUCACAUUGCCCAUCCAUUAACUUCCCACCAUAACCCAGUGAAAAGCCCUAUAGCAACACUGAAUGCAUUAUACAUCACCAUUCAGACUGUAUUACAAUGCACGCACACACAAGCAGCACAGACACACACACACACACACACACACACACACACACACACACACUCUCUUAUUUAAAACUAUGCAGUUACAUUUGACUGCUGUAAAAGGAGCAAUUUAAAAAAUAAAGCUGCGCUCGGUGUCUAAAGCAGAAAGAAAAUUUAUAAAGUGGAGACUGGGGCUAGUUGUCACAGAGGCUUUAUUUUUCAUAACUAGUGUUAGUGGACACAUGUUUUAAUCCUAUUUUGGUACAAAUCAUUAAUCACAAUAUGGUUAGAUUUUCUGUGUAUGUCUUUUUUUAGUAAUGUUACAUUGUAUAUACAUUUUUGUAGUCAAGACUUCAAGGUAUGUGUCAUUAUAGAAAGUGACUAAAAGAAAUCUACCAUGAGAAAUAUUCACUGGAGUAAAAAUACUAUGCUUACAACUACAAGUACUAAAGAGAAUCUGACCAUAUUGCUUUGAUAGGUGUUACUGUAUAUCAUGAAAGUUGGUUUCAGUCCAUUACUUUGUGCAUAGCAGAGAAAUGUAAUGAUCUGUGUGGUGGGUCUCCAAUACAUUAGAGAUGAGAUGUAAAUCAUAAAGGCCUGGUUUCACAGACAAGGCUUGGCUAAAGCCAGGACUAAGCCUUAGUUAAAUUAAGACUUUUUGGUUUGUAUCUUAAAAAGGACAUUUCACAAGACUUUUAUAAGAUGUCAAAUAAAUCUUUGGUGUCCCCAGAGUACGUAUGUUAAAUAACCAUAUAGAUAAUUUAUAAUAGCAUGUUACAAUUUCCACUUUAUAGGUGUGAGCAAAAAUGUGUCGUUUUUGGGUGUGUCCUUUAAAUGCAAAUAAACUGAUCUCUGCACUAAAUGGCAGUGCUGUGGAUGGAUAGUGCAGAUUAAUGGGUGGGAUUAUCCCCUUCUGACAUCACAAGGGGAGACAGAUUUCAAUGACCUAUUUUUUCACAUGCGUGUAGAGAAUGGUUUACCAAAACUAAGUUACUGGGUUGGUAUUUAUCACAUUUUAUAGGUUAAUAGAAGCACUGGGCACCCAAUUAUAGCACUUAAACAUGGAAAAGUCAGUUUUUAUGAUAUGUCCCC
This is a non-coding RNA of Paramisgurnus dabryanus, 2786 nucleotides long. NCBI's taxonomy places the organism in Eukaryota, Metazoa, Chordata, Actinopteri, Cypriniformes, Cobitidae. The record is from RefSeq and is a predicted model, not a curated record.